GGCACCAAAGCUCAGUGGUUACAGUGCCAGCCCUGAGCACUGGGGGCAGCAAGUUCAAACCUUGCCUGAGCCU
Molecule: transfer RNA, 73 nt
Filed under: Otolemur garnettii (small-eared galago)
Lineage: Eukaryota; Metazoa; Chordata; Mammalia; Primates; Galagidae
Rfam family: tRNA
About the family: Transfer RNA (tRNA) molecules are approximately 80 nucleotides in length. Their secondary structure includes four short double-helical elements and three loops (D, anti-codon, and T loops).
Source: Rfam by way of RNAcentral